RNAcentral lists this ribosomal RNA (332 nucleotides) under uncultured Methylobacterium sp. RNAcentral's name for it is "bacterial SSU rRNA". It matches the Rfam family "Bacterial small subunit ribosomal RNA", at positions 1 to 359 of the family's 1533-position model. Lineage: Bacteria; Pseudomonadati; Pseudomonadota; Alphaproteobacteria; Hyphomicrobiales; Methylobacteriaceae. The record is from RNAcentral.
UUCGCCCUUAGAGUUUGAUCCUGGCUCAGAGCGAACGCUGGCGGCAGGCUUAACACAUGCAAGUCGAGCGGGCCCUUCGGGGUCAGCGGCGGACGGGUGAGUAACGCGUGGGAACGUGCCUUCUGGUUCGGAAUAACCCUGGGAAACUAGGGCUAAUACCGGAUACGCCCUUUUGGGGAAAGGUUUACUGCCGGAAGAUCGGCCCGCGUCUGAUUAGCUAGUUGGUGGGGUAACGGCCUACCAAGGCGACGAUCAGUAGCUGGUCUGAGAGGAUGAUCAGCCACACUGGGACUGAGACACGGCCCAGACUCCUACGGGAGGCAGCAGAAGGG